GAUGCGCGUGACAGGGGGAAGGCAGGAGUGUGCAACGCUGAGGAGCCUGGCUCCCUCGAGCGGCAGGGUGGAAGUGCGGGAGCUGGCGUGACAGUAAUGUAAUUGAACAGAGUCAUGAUCAAGGGCUAGCUCUGGUACAACGUUAGUUGUGCCAACUCUCUGAAGUUCAAAGACAUUCAAAGUUCCUCAUAGAAGCCGCUCCUCUGUAGGUAUAAUUAUAUUUUCCUAAUUCAGAUGUCAUAACAGCAAGAUUCCCAGUGCUUCAUGCUCAGUGCUCUCCUCACCUGCGAAAUUUCAGUUGCAUUUCGCACCUGUUAGUGUUUCAUACUGGAGAGGGAAUGCAGAUCAACGACGCUGGACAGAGUGGAAUCAGGUGUAUCAAAAAGGCCGUUUAUUGGUCAAAGAUAUCUUGUUCUACAUCGUGCACGGAUCUAGUUCAUAUAACCCGAUGAGGGGUCAGGGUUGGAGGCGGACCCGCUCUAGCCAGAGUAGAAGCCCCCAUUGGUGCACAGCAGUCUUCUGUUCUGAGGACCCGACCAGUAAAAGAGGUUCUGAGCUAUCAGGUACAGAUUCAAUCAACCCUUGAUAGAAUUUGGCAAACAACUUCUUUGGCAGCUUCUCUCAGUAUUUUUUUGAUACUAAAGUGAUUGCAUAUGAUUUCUCAGUUGUAAGAAUUGAAAGAUUUUUGGACAACACAAAUGUAUCUUGUAAUUGAUUGUAUGACAA
Molecule: long non-coding RNA, 726 nt
Organism: Oncorhynchus gorbuscha (pink salmon)
Lineage: Eukaryota; Metazoa; Chordata; Actinopteri; Salmoniformes; Salmonidae
Exons: 3
Source: RefSeq, a predicted model, not a curated record